CUGUGGAUCAGUGGCGAACGGGUGAGUAACACGUGAGCAACCUGCCCUUGACUCUGGGAUAAGCGCNGGAAACGGCGUCUAAUACCGGAUAUGAGCUGCGAUCGCAUGGUCAGCAGUUGGAAAGAUUUUUCGGUCUGGGAUGGGCUCACGGCCUAUCAGCUUGUUGGUGAGGUAAUGGCUCACCAAGGCGUCGACGGGUAGCCGGCCUGAGAGGGUGACCGGCCACACUGGGACUGAGACACGGCCCAGACUCCUACGGGAGGCAGCAGUGGGGAAUAUUGCACAAUGGGCGAAAGCCUGAUGCAGCAACGCCGCGUGAGGGAUGACGGCCUUCGGGUUGUAAACCUCUUUUAGCAGGGAAGAAGCGAAAGUGACGGUACCUGCAGAAAAAGCGCCGGCUAACUACGUGCCAGCAGCCGCGGUAAUACGUAGGGCGCAAGCGUUAUCCGGAAUUAUUGGGCGUAAAGAGCUCGUAGGCGGUUUGUCGCGUCUGCUGUGAAAUCCCGAGGCUCAACCUCGGGUCUGCAGUGGGUACGGGCAGACUAGAGUGCGGUAGGGGAGAUUGGAAUUCCUGGUGUAGCGGUGGAAUGCGCAGAUAUCAGGAGGAACACCGAUGGCGAAGGCAGAUCUCUGGGCCGUUACUGACGCUGAGGAGCGAAAG
RNAcentral lists this ribosomal RNA (661 nucleotides) under uncultured bacterium. RNAcentral describes it as "bacterial SSU rRNA". It matches the Rfam family "Bacterial small subunit ribosomal RNA", at positions 85 to 759 of the family's 1533-position model. The record is from RNAcentral.